AAGAUCAAAUAAUCAUACAUCAACAAUAAUUAUAAAUUAGAUGAUCACUGCCGCAAUCUUUUCAACCCAUUUUCAGGUCUCUACUGCUUGCCAAAUAAUUACACGUCUGCCUCCACAGCUAAUGCUUCUGUCAUUCCAAACUCAACAAAGGUUCAUGUUAUACCCAAUCAGCAAGGAGACAGUGUGAGAAAUGAGAAAUAUCCAUUAAAAUCGUGUGAUCUGCUGCAGCAUUUGAGAACUGUUUGAUUGUGAAACCAACUGCUCUGAACUUGGUGAAGG
Molecule: unclassified non-coding RNA, 279 nt
Filed under: Hevea brasiliensis (rubber tree)
Lineage: Eukaryota; Viridiplantae; Streptophyta; Magnoliopsida; Malpighiales; Euphorbiaceae
Source: RNAcentral